AAUGGAUCGAGUGCUAGCUUUCUUGUAUCAACAACGCAUUUUGGCAAGACAGUUGGAGGAGGAAAGCCCAGAGGGAAUGUGAUAUACGGUAAAACAUUUGAAUAAUACCAAAAUAUUACAAAGUGAAACGUGUCCUUCCGAUUCCAGUUCUUCAAGUGCCCUGUCCUUCCUGGCAAAGGUAAACUGUAUUCCCAGUUUCCUGAGUGUCCCUUCAGAUAGUCUAUGAAUAGGUAAGUAUGUAUGUGGAUAUGUGAAGAGCUUCCCAGGUAGCACAGUGGCAAGAGAUGGGGGUCUCCCUAGGUCAGAAUAUCCCUUAGAGAAGGAAAUGGCAACCCCCUCCACUGUUCUUGCCUGUAAAAUUCCAUGGACAGAGAAACCUGCCGGGCUACAGUCCACAGUGUCACAAAGAGUUGGACACAACUGAGCGACUAAGCACACACCUAUGUACUUUUAUUUAUUUUACACAAGUGGAAGAAUUUUGCAGAGGAAGUGUACCAUAAGUGAAUAUGACUUAAAUCUACUCUAUAUAUCUGAAGUGAAAAAUAGAGUUCCCUACAUGUACUUGGCAAAAAAACAACAACAAUAACACCAAAAUAAAAGCAAUUAAAGCAGGAGAAAUUCAUGCUGGUGAUCGCACCUGCCAUUCGACUCAAUGACUGAGCAGGAGGUGGACGCAGCAACCCCUGUUCCUUGAACUGGACUCAUAUUCAGCAUAUGCACAGCCCUGCACCCAGAAUGAGACUGGCUUCUUAUUGUACCAUGGUAAGAAAACUUAACACGAGAUCUGCCCUUUUAACAGAGGGCAAUACAGUAUUUUAACAGUAUAAUAUAUUAAUACAGUAUUUUAAAGUGGGCAAUACAGUAUUGUUAACUCUAGGCACAGUAUUGUAAAGCAGAUGUCCAGAACUUAGUCAGCAUGCAUAUACAUCAUGAAACUGUAUACCUGGUGAUUAGCAACGCCUCCUUUCCCCUUCCACCAUCCCCUGGAACUUCCAUUCUAAUCUGAGUCUGACUAUUUUAGAUACCUCAUAGGAAUGAAAUCAUGCAUUAUUUGUCCCUUUG
This is a long non-coding RNA of Bos taurus (domestic cattle), 1062 nucleotides long. The record is from Ensembl. NCBI's taxonomy places the organism in Eukaryota, Metazoa, Chordata, Mammalia, Artiodactyla, Bovidae.